GUCCAUGUUUGGAUAUAGAUUUUUUCUUCUUCUCUUUGUCCAAGAGUUGGAUAAAAUUUCUACAUCUCUAGCGUAGAGAUUUGGUUCAUGAAUUUUAGGAAGAAAAGAAAAGAAAGGGUUCUUCUCAUGAUCUCUAGCAUAGAGAUCAACAUCCUCCUACUUCUUCUUCUCUAAGAGUGUCUUGAGAGAAAAAAUUUUCAACUAUCAAGAUAUAAUCUCUGCAAGGUAGCUAGCAUCUCUAUGAGGUCAAUAAGCUUCUGAUCAGAUAGAAGUCUUGUAUG
RNAcentral lists this long non-coding RNA (281 nucleotides) under Elaeis guineensis (African oil palm). RNAcentral describes it as "long non-coding RNA (EGUI_LNC050924)". The record is from RNAcentral. Lineage: Eukaryota; Viridiplantae; Streptophyta; Magnoliopsida; Arecales; Arecaceae.